Molecule: long non-coding RNA, 493 nt
Organism: Oncorhynchus keta (chum salmon)
Lineage: Eukaryota; Metazoa; Chordata; Actinopteri; Salmoniformes; Salmonidae
Exons: 3
Source: RefSeq, a predicted model, not a curated record
GAACAGGAGAGAGAGGUCUGAGAGAACAGGAGAGAGAGAGAGAGGUCUGAGAGAACAGGAGAGAGAGGUCUGAGAGAACAGGAGAGAGAGGUCUGAGAGAACAGGAGAGAGAGAGAGAGGUCUGAGAGAACAGGAGAGAGAGGUCUGAGAGAACAGGAGAGAGAGGUCUGAGAGAACAGGAGAGAGAGAGAGAGGUCAGAGAGAACAGGAGAGAGAGAGAGAGAGAGAGAGGUCUGAGAGAACAGGAGAGAGAGAGAGAGGUCUGAGAGAACAGGGGAGAGGUCUGAGAGAACAGGAGAGAGAGAGAGAGGUCUGAGAGAACAGGAGAGACAGAGAGGUCUGAGAGAACAGGAGAGAGAGAGAGAUGUCUGAGAGAACAGGAGAGAGAGAGAGAGAGGUCUGAGAGAACAGGGGAGAGGUCUGAGAGAACAGGAGAGAGAGAGAGAGGUCUGAGAGAACAGGAGAGACAGAGAGGUCUGAGAGAACAGGAGAG